This 1510-nucleotide ribosomal RNA is filed under the name uncultured Planococcus sp. RNAcentral's name for it is "16S ribosomal RNA". It matches the Rfam family "Bacterial small subunit ribosomal RNA". The record is from RNAcentral. Lineage: Bacteria; Bacillati; Bacillota; Bacilli; Caryophanales; Caryophanaceae.
AGUUUGAUCCUGGCUCACGACGAACGCUGGCGGCGUGCCUAUUACAUGCUAGUCGAGCGAAGAUGGUGGAGCUUGCUCCAUUAUCUUAGCGGCGGACGGGUGAGUAACACGUGGGCAACCUGCCCUGCAGAUCGGGAUAACUCCGGGAAACCGGUGCUAAUACCUAAUAGUUUGCGGCCUCUCAUGAGGCUGCGCGGAAAGACGGUUUCGGCUGUCACUGCGGAUGGGCCCGCGGCGCAAUAUCUAGUUGGUGAGGUAACGGCUCACCAAGGCCACGAUGCGUAGCGACCUGCGAGGGUGAUCGGCCACACUGGUACUGAGACACGGCCCAUACUCCUACGGGAGGCAACGGUAGGGAAUCUUCUGCAUGGACGAAAUUCUGACCGAGCAACACCGCGUGAGUGAAGCAGGUUUUCGGAUCGUAAAACUCUGUUGUGAGGGAAGAACAUGUACCAACUAUCUACUGUUACCUUGACGGUACCUCACCGGAAAGCCACGGCUAACUACGUGCCAUCGGCCGGAGUAAUACGUAGGAGGCAAGCGUUGUCCGGAAUUAUUGGGCGUAAAGCUCGCGCAGGCGGGCCGUUAAGUCUGAUGUGACAGCCACUGCUCAUCAUGGGAGGGUCUUUGGAAACUGGGGGGACUAGAGUGCUUAAUAGGAAAGUGGAAUUCUACUUAUAGCGGUAGAAAUGACUACAGAUGUGUAGGAACACUAGUGCAAUGCGACUUAUCUCGGUCUGUACUGACGCUGUAUGCGCGAUAGCAUGCGGAGCUGACCUGAUUAGAUACCCUGGUAGUCCACGCCGUAAACGAUGAGUGCUAAGUGUUAGGGGGUUUCCGCCCCUUAGUGCUGCAGCUAACGCAUUAAGCACUCCGCCUGGGGAGUACGGCCGCAAGGCUGAAACUCAAAGGAAUUGACGGGGGCCCGCACAAGCGGUGGAGCAUGUGGUUUAAUUCGAAGCAACGCGAAGAACCUUACCAGGUCUUGACAUCCCGCUGACCGCCUAGGAGACUAGGCUUUCCCUUCGGGGACAGCGGUGACAGGUGGUGCAUGGUUGUCGUCAACUCGUGUCGUGAGAUGUUGGGUUAAGUCCCGCAACGAGCGCAACCCUUGAUCUUAGUUGCCAGCAUUCAGUUGGGCACUCUAAGGUGACUGCCGGUGACAAACCGGAGGAAGGUGGGGAUGACGUCAAAUCAUCAUGCCCCUUAUGACCUGGGCUACACACGUGCUACAAUGGACGGUACAAAGGGCUGCAAACCCGCGAGGGGGAGCCAAUCCCAGAAAACCGUUCUCAGUUCGGAUUGCAGGCUGCAACUCGCCUGCAUGAAGCCGGAAUCGCUAGUAGUCGCGGAUCAGCAUGCCGCGGUGAAUACGUUCCCGGGCCUUGUACACACCGCCCGUCACACCACGAGAGUUUGUAACACCCGAAGUCGGUGGGGUAACCCUUACGGGAGCCAGCCGCCGAAGGUGGGACAGAUGAUUGGGGUGAAGUCGUAACAAGGUAGCCGU